Mizuhopecten yessoensis (Yesso scallop) is the source of this 502-nucleotide long non-coding RNA. RefSeq lists it as uncharacterized. The record is from RefSeq and is a predicted model, not a curated record. The transcript is spliced from 3 exons. NCBI's taxonomy places the organism in Eukaryota, Metazoa, Mollusca, Bivalvia, Pectinida, Pectinidae.
CAUAGAUAUUAGGACGUUAUUUAUGUACAACCUCCCUCACACUACUGUGGUUGAUCUUCCUAUUCUAGAAAUCAACACAUGAAACUGACUUUUUCAGCAGGUUACUCUCUGCUGAACACGGUUUGAUGGUAUUUCUAGUCGACUACACUAUCGAUCAGUUCAUUAUUGAUUAUUUGAUCAUACACGAUACCAGGCAAGUACUUGUCAGUCGGCUACACACACGUACUCGGUAUAGACCAAACGAGCAUGACGAAGAGAGAAAACAUUUCAACGUAACGUUAUUUUGACAUAGGACGGAUUUCACGUAAACUACCAUCAUGGCACAAGAGUUCUUUAAUAGAUCCACUGUUCAACCAAAAAUAACUAUGGGCAAGAUGUUGUUAUUCGGAGACGAAGCAGUAGGGAAAACAUGUCUGUUGCUUAGAUUCACAGGUGAAACUUUCACAUUAAACCAUAUUCCAACGAUUGAAAUGGACUUCGUAAGUACAUUAUUACUUUACUU